This 465-nucleotide ribosomal RNA is filed under the name Vreelandella stevensii. RNAcentral's name for it is "partial 16S ribosomal RNA". It matches the Rfam family "Bacterial small subunit ribosomal RNA", at positions 338 to 795 of the family's 1533-position model. The record is from RNAcentral. Lineage: Bacteria; Pseudomonadati; Pseudomonadota; Gammaproteobacteria; Oceanospirillales; Halomonadaceae.
CCUACGGGUGGCUGCAGUGGGGAAUAUUGGACAAUGGGGGGAACCCUGAUCCAGCCAUGCCGCGUGUGUGAAGAAGGCCCUCGGGUUGUAAAGCACUUUCAGUGAGGAAGAACGCCUGGUGGUUAAUACCCAUCAGGAAAGACAUCACUCACAGAAGAAGCACCGGCUAACUCCGUGCCAGCAGCCGCGGUAAUACGGAGGGUGCGAGCGUUAAUCGGAAUUACUGGGCGUAAAGCGCGCGUAGGUGGCUUGAUAAGCCGGUUGUGAAAGCCCCGGGCUCAACCUGGGAACGGCAUCCGGAACUGUCAAGCUAGAGUGCAGGAGAGGAAGGUAGAAUUCCCGGUGUAGCGGUGAAAUGCGUAGAGAUCAGGAGGAAUACCAGUGGCGAAGGCGGCCUUCUGGACUGACACUGACACUGAGGUGCGAAAGCGUGGGUAGCAAACAGGAUUAGAUACCCUGGUAGUC